CUGAGAGGUGGGGAAUGGCAAGAGGAUAUUUUGCAAUGUGCUGUGAGACUGUGCUGACACAGGACACUGCGUCUUCAUACAACAACAGAGCUGUCACUCUCUCUCUCAGGCACGAGGUGCACAAGGGAUUCGGUCUGAAAGCCAGGACCACAGAGGGCAGUGCGGUGAGGUGAACCUGGGAAAGCGAGCAACAGCUGUGAGAAACCAUCAGAUCUGCCAUUCCUCACACUUCAACAGCCAACAAGAAAGCGAUUUAUGACGGCCGAGAGAGGGAGAGAAAGAGACUGAGAGAAAGAAGGACAGAGAAAAAAGGACAGACAGGGGAGACGGAGAAAUAAACAUAGAGAAAGAGGGAGAAAGAAUGAAAUAAACAGAGAAAGAAGUAAAGACAGAGGAGCUGAAAGGAGAUGUGAUAAAGCAAGCGAAAUGAAAGGGGAAAGAAAGAUAAAUACACAGAGAAAAGAGAGUGACAGAGAGAUAACAAGAUGGCCGACUGGGAUAGACUAAAGGACAGAGGUGGUAGUGUUUGGACUCACAGAUGAAACCAUUUAAAGAAGAGAACAACUCAUCUACAUACUGUGCGGUCCAGAGAGCACUCUCCCAUGACAACUACGUCAACGACCCAGAGACAGUGUCGACAGAAGACCACACCACACGGGGAGAACACACACAUUAACUCAACACGCACACAUGCAUACGCACAUGCACACAAAUAAACUUUAACACAUACACACCCAUAUAUCCAUAAAAAAAGUAUAGCGCAUAGAAGAAUAUUUUUUGUGUGUGUGUUUUGGUCUUGAGGAAAUCUUCAGCAUGUGUUAGAUGAAUCCCAGGGGUUCUCACUCAACUCUGAUUGGCCGGCCGGCUUGCUGUGUUUGUUUCCACAGCAACAGAGCUGUCACUGCCUCCUACCACCCAGGUAGAGCUGUCAAUCACUCUGGCUCCCGGCCAACCACACGCAGGCCUCGCUGCAACCAAUCACAACACAGAUCCUGUCCUGAAAAUUACCAAUAGUCUGAUAUCAAUAAUCCCGAUCGUAAGAAAUUAUAAAUGACUUUUUAAAACAAAGUUAGAAUGUUUUACUAGAAACAAAGGAAAACAUUUAUAGAGCUUCUGCUUUAUGUUGGAAACAACUCUGGUUUCCAAUUGGAUUUAGAGAAAAUCAUAAAGGUUAAUUUAAAAAGAUGAAAUAUUUCAGUACUAAAAUUCAAAACAGACAUUGUUUAAUCACAACUUGGCCUUUGCCUAAAGAAAAUUGGCCAUAUCCAGAUCUUUAAUCACAACCUUCCAUUUGGUGCUGUUCCUUAUGCGUUUCGUCAUACCUUAAAUCACAUCAUCCGCUCCUUAUUGCCCCUCUUAUUUAUUACACAAAUACUCCAGAGGGUGGAUUUCCAAACAAUCAUAAUCCAUCUUCAAAAGCUGACUUCACUUUAGUUUCUAUUUCUCCUCUUGUCUUAAAAUGAAGAAUCUCAAAGAACAGUCAGUUUACUGUGACAGUAAAUAUGGGGGUUGUUGAUGUGUCAAUAGUCAAAGGCUGGAUUUGAAAUAAUACAUUCUACUGAGAUAUAACAGUGCCAGGGCUACUACUGAAUGGAUCGUGCAUGCUUGCUCAUUGGCAUGGUUUACUGGGACACCUGAAUGGAGCAGAGCCAUUUUUAACAUUAUUAAUUAGACCUACACUGUUUCUCCUAUAACAAGUCCCAUUUGCCACAGAGACAAAGGUCUAUGAGCCAGUUUUAGCACAACUGUAUGUUAACUGAACUAGAAAACUACACUGUGUGUCACUGUGUUGGGCAGUGAAUUAGAUUUAUCACAUUAAUCCUGUUUUAUGAGGAACUUCUGACAUCAUCAAAUCAUGUUUUCAUGUUUUCUAUCUAUCAUCUAUACAAGUUACAAUUUAAGAGCACAUUUUUCAGUUCACUUAUUACAACUCAACCAAACUCUAUAUUUAGCAUUUAAGUCAGUCCCCUUGACACAGGACAGAUUUUUUGACAAAGGCAAUCCUGGGGUCAUAAAAACUAAAAAUAGAGCUUUUCUAUUCUGGAGCUGAGGCGUAUCUGAAGGCGAUGAAAAGCAGGUGUAACACAAUAUAGGAGUCAGGGUCUUCAGAGCAAUGUCGGGGAACCAGGACUGUCACAUGUUCACAAAAAUAGACACACAUACACAAGACGUUUAGAGAAGGAAGCAGAGAGAAAGGGACAGACAGGCAGAUGAAUGUCACUAUUACAAAAGCCUUUCCAGGUCUCAUGAGGGGCAACUGUAUUUGUUUUUGAAUUAUUGAUAUAUGUACAGGUGUAUGUGUGUGUUGGUCUGUGUGCGAGCAGUGUGGCAGUGGUGGCAUUUAUGACCUGAGAUUAAAUAGCUUUUUAAAGUAUUUUUUAACUGUUGAUUGUUUUUAUAGCGCUUUUAUCCAACGUCCAAUUUAUUACAAUUUGCCUCUCAUCCACACACUCACACACCGAUGGCAGCGAGCUACCUAGCCCCAGUUUGUGCCUCUCAUGUAUUAGCAUGCAUUCAGGUCACAGAGGUAACCAUCGGCUUCUCUGAGAGAUAAUUAACCGCUGAUGUUUGAACAACUACAUUGUGAGUUUGGCUGUCUUAAAACACAGUGAUCAUGGAGCACAGGAGGGGGCAAAACGGAGGUUUAACCAGCUGAGACCGUCUGU
Long non-coding RNA from Siniperca chuatsi (mandarin fish), 2666 nucleotides. RefSeq lists it as uncharacterized. The record is from RefSeq and is a predicted model, not a curated record. Lineage: Eukaryota; Metazoa; Chordata; Actinopteri; Centrarchiformes; Sinipercidae. The transcript has 3 exons.